RNAcentral lists this ribosomal RNA (385 nucleotides) under uncultured bacterium. RNAcentral's name for it is "bacterial SSU rRNA". It matches the Rfam family "Bacterial small subunit ribosomal RNA", at positions 963 to 1347 of the family's 1533-position model. The record is from RNAcentral.
GAAGAACCUUACCACCCCUUGACAUCCUCGGAAAUGCCUGGAGACAGGCAGGUGCCUUUGGGAACCGAGUGACAGGUGGUGCAUGGCUGUUGUCAGCUCGUGUCGUGAGAUGUUGGGUUAAGUCCCGUAACGAGCGCAACCCUUGUCCUUAUUUGCCAGCGGGUCAGGCCGGGAACUCUAGGGAGACUGCCGGUGACAAACCGGAGGAAGGCGGGGAUGACGUCAAGUCAUCAUGGCCCUCACGGGGUGGGCUACAAACGUGCUACAAUGGGCGGCACAGAGGGCUGCGAACCAGCAAUGGCAAGCGAAUCCCAAAAAACCGCUUGUAGUCCGGAUAGGAGUCUGCAACUCGACUCCUUGAAGUCGGAAUCGCUAGUAAUCGCGA